UACGUAGGGUGCAAGCGUUAAUCGGAAUUACUGGGCGUAAAGCGUGCGCAGGCGGUUUUGUAAGACCGAUGUGAAAUCCCCGGGCUUAACCUGGGAACUGCAUUGGUGACUGCAAGGCUUGAGUGUGUCAGAGGGAGGUGGAAUUCCGCGUGUAGCAGUGAAAUGCGUAGAUAUGCGGAGGAACACCGAUGGCGAAGGCAAUCCCCUGGGCCUGCACUGACGCUCAUGCACGAAAGCGUGGGGAGCAAACAGG
RNAcentral lists this ribosomal RNA (253 nucleotides) under uncultured bacterium. RNAcentral describes it as "partial 16S ribosomal RNA". It matches the Rfam family "Bacterial small subunit ribosomal RNA", at positions 524 to 776 of the family's 1533-position model. The record is from RNAcentral.